RNAcentral lists this long non-coding RNA (205 nucleotides) under Mytilus galloprovincialis (Mediterranean mussel). Lineage: Eukaryota; Metazoa; Mollusca; Bivalvia; Mytilida; Mytilidae. The record is from RNAcentral.
AUACAGACUUUUAAAAGUUGAGUUAAGGCAAUGAACUCAUAUCAAAAUGAACAUUGUCAUUAUUUUAAUAACAUCUUCAGCAUGUGGAAAGCUUGUAAGCAAAGGGACUUCACCUCCAAGUGUAAACUAUGCUGGCUUGUCUCUUUCUUUACUGUUGUUGAAUCAAACACACUCUUUACUUCCUAAUCAGGAACAUUGACAAUUG